CUUGUCUCAUGGGGGUGCCCGGCGAUUGUGGAUCGGGCUGAGAGGCAAAUGGCCAACUCCUAGAACCUGAUCCGGCUUGUACCGGCGGAGGGAUUUGAGAUCAUGACUGAU
This 111-nucleotide non-coding RNA is filed under the name Roseibium alexandrii. Its description in RNAcentral is "Labrenzia alexandrii TPP sequence". It matches the Rfam family "TPP riboswitch aptamer (THI element)". Rfam says of the family: Vitamin B(1) in its active form thiamin pyrophosphate (TPP) is an essential coenzyme that is synthesised by coupling of pyrimidine and thiazole moieties in bacteria. The previously detected thiamin-regulatory element, thi box was extended, resulting in a new, highly conserved RNA secondary structure, the THI element, which is widely distributed in eubacteria and also occurs in some archaea. The record is from Rfam by way of RNAcentral. Lineage: Bacteria; Pseudomonadati; Pseudomonadota; Alphaproteobacteria; Hyphomicrobiales; Stappiaceae.